This 305-nucleotide ribosomal RNA is filed under the name uncultured bacterium. RNAcentral's name for it is "bacterial SSU rRNA". It matches the Rfam family "Bacterial small subunit ribosomal RNA", at positions 335 to 657 of the family's 1533-position model. The record is from RNAcentral.
UACCUACGGGACGCAGCAGUGGGGGAUAUUGCACAAUGGGGGAAUCCCUGAUGCAGCGACGCCGCGUGAGUGAAGAAGUAUUUCGGUACGUAAAGCUCUAUCAGCAGGGAAGAAAAAUGACGGUACCUGACUAAGAAGCCCCGGCUAACUACGUGCCAGCAGCCGCGGUAAUACGUAGGGGGCAAGCGUUAUCCGGAUUUACUGGGUGUAAAGGGAGCGUAGACGGCUGAGCAAGUCAGAAGUGAAAGCCCGGGGCUCAACCCCGGGACUGCUUUUGACACUGCGGAGCUGGAGUGCAGGAGAGG